GACAGGACGUAUGAGAAGCACAAGAGACUCCUGGAGCUGUUCUGUAGGAGCGACCAGACGUGUGUGUGUGUGCUGUGCAUGGACACUGACCACAGAGCUCACGACAUUGUUCCAGCAGAGAGAGAGAGAGUAAAGCCAUGCUCUGAUGAAGAAGAGUGAGGCAGAGGUGCGUCAGAUGAUCCAGGUCAGACUGAAGAAUGUGCAGGAGAUCAAACCCUUCGUAUAGCUUAACAUAAUAAGUUCAAAGAAAGAGAAGAUGGAGGAUGGAGUGCAGGUCUUCACUGUUCUGGUGCACUGCAUCGAGAGACGCCAGGCUGAGCUCAUCGAGGUGAUUGAGGAGAAGCAGAAAGCAGCAGAGAGGCAGCCUGAAGACUUCAUCAAAGAACUGGAGCAGGAAAUCACUGAGCUGAAGAGGAGAAGCACUGAGCUGGAGUGUCUGUAACACACCGAGGACCACCUCCACCUCCUACAGUUGACGUAUCCUUGCACCCGAGCACUGCCAACCUCUGGUUGGUCCUGUCUGAAGAUGGUAAGCUGGUCUGGGACGGGGACACGAAGCAGAGCCUCCCGGACCUACUGGGAGGUUGAGGUGGGUUUGUACUGAAAUUGAAAAACCAUUUAACCUAAUGAAGGUCUAUUGAGACAAAAAUACUUGUUAAAAGACAUUCAAUCUGUGGAGCAUCAGGAUCACCAAAGGGCUGGAGUUUGUUUUAUUUUUCAGUAUACAGUUUCUGUCCAUGCACCUGGUGAUACUGUUGGUAUAGGUAAUCGUACAGGAACCUUACCUAUAGGUAUUAGAAAUGCUACUACAAGACUAUAAGUGUGUGAGUUAUACUUUUUCAAUUGGUCCAGGUCAGAGACGAGACAGCUUGGGAGCAAGGCGUGGCCAUGGAGUCCAUCAACAGGAAGGGUGUGGUCACGCUGAGCCCCGAGGAGGGCUAUUGGAUGAUAUAUUUGAGGAGAGGAAGUGAGUAGAGACAGUCUGUGUUAAUCCACCUAGGAGAGAAACCGUGGAAGGUGGGGGUGUUUGUGGUUUACGGUGAGGGGAUGGUGUCAUGUGAUGGGCAGGUCACCUAUUUAUUAGUUCACGGGGAAACCAGUUCACUGAGAGAGUGUUACCUUUGUUCAACCCCGAUAUGAGUGACAGCGGGAACAACAAAUCGCAGCUCAUUAUAUGUUCUGUUGGUGUUGUCAAUGGUGGCGGGACUUUGGAUGACGACAUCAUAAUAUUAUAUGUACUUUGCUAUGGACAAUCCAUUUCCUUUUGAAAGCGCCCUAAAGAGGACAAUGGAAAACAAAAGAGGUUUUACUUAAAUGUUUAAAAGCAGAGCCUCUUUAUUGAUACAUAGCUAUUCAUAUUUACCUGAUCUGAUCUGGGCUAUAGAAACGACUUCUCUGUAAGAUUCACAUGUUCUUUUGUUGAAUUAAAUUAA
Coregonus clupeaformis (lake whitefish) is the source of this 1433-nucleotide long non-coding RNA. RefSeq lists it as uncharacterized. The record is from RefSeq and is a predicted model, not a curated record. Lineage: Eukaryota; Metazoa; Chordata; Actinopteri; Salmoniformes; Salmonidae. The transcript is spliced from 4 exons.